UCGAGCGAAUCUGAGGGAGCUUGCUCCCAACGAUUAGCGGCGGACGGGUGAGUAACACGUGGGUAACCUGCCUGUAAGAUUGGGAUAACUCCGGGAAACCGGAGCUAAUACCGGAUAACAUUUCGAACCGCAUGGUUCGAAAUUGAAAGACGGCUUCGGCUGUCACUUACAGAUGGACCCGCGGCGCAUUAGCUAGUUGGUGAGGUAACGGCUCACCAAGGCGACGAUGCGUAGCCGACCUGAGAGGGUGAUCGGCCACACUGGGACUGAGACACGGCCCAGACUCCUACGGGAGGCAGCAGUAGGGAAUCUUCCGCAAUGGACGAAAGUCUGACGGAGCAACGCCGCGUGAACGAUGAAGGCCUUCGGGUCGUAAAGUUCUGUUGUUAGGGAAGAACAAGUACCAGAGUAACUGCUGGUACCUUGACGGUACCUAACCAGAAAGCCACGGCUAACUACGUGCCAGCAGCCGCGGUAAUACGUAGGUGGCAAGCGUUGUCCGGAAUUAUUGGGCGUAAAGCGCGCGCAGGCGGUUUCUUAAGUCUGAUGUGAAAGCCCACGGCUCAACCGUGGAGGGUCAUUGGAAACUGGGAAACUUGAGUGCAGAAGAGGAGAGUGGAAUUCCACGUGUAGCGGUGAAAUGCGUAGAGAUGUGGAGGAACACCAGUGGCGAAAGCGACUCUCUGGUCUGUAACUGACGCUGAGGCGCGAAAGCGUGGGGAGCGAACAGGAUUAGAUACCCUGGUAGUCCACGCCGUAAACGAUGAGUGCUAAGUGUUAGAGGGUUU
Molecule: ribosomal RNA, 788 nt
Filed under: Metabacillus niabensis
Lineage: Bacteria; Bacillati; Bacillota; Bacilli; Caryophanales; Bacillaceae
Description: bacterial SSU rRNA
Rfam family: Bacterial small subunit ribosomal RNA
Source: RNAcentral